AUGACUGGGAUAACUGGCCGAAAGGCUUGCUAAUACCAGAUAAGCCCACGAGGACUUUGGUCCAUGAGGGAAAAGGCGGCCUCUGUAUACAAGCUGUCACAGGGAGAUGAGUCCGCGGCCCAUCAGCUAGUUGGCGGGGUAAAGGCCCACCAAGGCAACGACGGGUAGCUGGUCUGAGAGGAUGAUCAGCCACACUGGAACUGAGACACGGUCCAG
Molecule: ribosomal RNA, 216 nt
Filed under: uncultured bacterium
Lineage: Bacteria
Description: partial 16S ribosomal RNA
Rfam family: Bacterial small subunit ribosomal RNA
Source: RNAcentral